GAUGUUUCAACAGCAAAAACUUUCUGAUUUCCCUUUCUUUUGCAAAAAUACUCAACUUUCCCAACUCAUUCUUUUCUUUUCUUUCAUUUUUCUCUCAUGUUUUUACCUUGCUCUCUUUGUUUUUCUCUUUUAUUUUUAACCCAUUCUUUACUUUUUUUCUUUCCUAUUUUCUUGUCUUUUUCUGUCUUAUUUUUUCCUCAUUUUAUUUUAUUCUUGAUUUUUCAUAAGACUCUCUUAAUUGGAGCUGAUCUUCAUAAACUUGACUGGGAGUAAGUAGUGUCAAAGUAACGUUCUUCCCAUGGUGUUUGAAAGUAUACCAAUUGGUAUAUCCAUC
This 334-nucleotide long non-coding RNA is filed under the name Gossypium raimondii (Peruvian cotton). RNAcentral's name for it is "long non-coding RNA (GRAI_LNC000563)". The record is from RNAcentral. Lineage: Eukaryota; Viridiplantae; Streptophyta; Magnoliopsida; Malvales; Malvaceae.